Molecule: long non-coding RNA, 319 nt
Filed under: Lathyrus oleraceus (garden pea)
Lineage: Eukaryota; Viridiplantae; Streptophyta; Magnoliopsida; Fabales; Fabaceae
Description: Pisum sativum (pea) long non-coding RNA (PSAT_LNC011337)
Source: RNAcentral
UUUAUUGCUCUUUUGAGCACGCUUUUUGCCAACCUUAAUUCUUCUAGAUAAGUGCUUCAUGAUACUUCUCAUAAUUUUUCAUUUCUCUUUUUUUUUUCUUUUGAAGUUUCGUGCUUUUCUAAUUUUUUCUGAACUUAUCUACUUUUCAUCGGUGUCCGAAAAAUUUGAUGAAGCCCCAAACUUAGGAUUUUCCACAGAUCUGGGGUAAACAACACUUAUCUAAGCAAGGCAUGGUAGUGUUUGGGCUUACAGUUAUUUACAGUGGUUAAACAAUAAACAAAAGGAAAUAUGGCUCGAAUUGGGUGAACGAAGGGUAAUA